GGCGCAGUAGCUCAGUUGGUUAGAGCGCCAGCCUGUCACGCUGGAGGUCGAGGGUUCGAGACCCUUCUGCGUCGCCA
Molecule: transfer RNA, 77 nt
Filed under: Clostridiales bacterium
Lineage: Bacteria; Bacillati; Bacillota; Clostridia; Eubacteriales
Also listed under: 3 other names
Description: tRNA-Asp
Rfam family: tRNA
About the family: Transfer RNA (tRNA) molecules are approximately 80 nucleotides in length. Their secondary structure includes four short double-helical elements and three loops (D, anti-codon, and T loops).
Source: RNAcentral